UACAGAGGUCCCAAGCGUUGUUCGGAUUCACUGGGCGUAAAGGGUGCGUAGGUGGUGAGGUAAGUCGGAUGUGAAAUCUCCGGGCUCAACCCGGAAACUGCAUUGGAAACUACCUUGCUUGAGGAUUUGAGGGGGGAUUGGAAUGACUUGGUGUAGCAGUGAAAUGCGUAGAUAUCAAGUGGAACACCAGUGGCGAAGGCGAAUCCCUGGAAAAUACCUGACACUGAGGCACGAAAGCUAGGGGAGCAAACAGG
RNAcentral lists this ribosomal RNA (254 nucleotides) under uncultured bacterium. Its description in RNAcentral is "partial 16S ribosomal RNA". It matches the Rfam family "Bacterial small subunit ribosomal RNA", at positions 524 to 776 of the family's 1533-position model. The record is from RNAcentral.